AUAUCAAUAAGCGGAGGAAAAGAAACUAACAAGGAUUCCCCUAGUAACUGCGAGUGAAGCGGGAAAAGCUCAAAUUUAAAAUCUGGCGGUCCUUGCGGCCGCCCAAGUUGUACUUGAGAGAAGUGUUAUCCGCGCCGGACCGUGUACAAGUCUCCUGGAAUGGAGCGUCAUAGAGGGUGAGAAUCCCGUCUUUGACACGGACUGCCAGGGCUUUGGGAAGGGCUCUCGAAGAGUCGAGUGGUUGGGAAUGCAGCUCAAAAUGGGUGGGAAAUUCCAUCCAAAGCUAAAUAUAAGUGAGAGCCCGAUAGCGAUCAAGUCGCGAGAGGGAAAGAGGACAAGAACUUUGAAAAAAGAAUGAAACACUCCGUGAAAUGAGAGAAAGGCAGUCGCUGGAAGUCAGGAGAGUCAUUCAGGAGUCAUCCGUCCUGUCCUCCGAGUCCCUUCUGUUCGUCGGCUCAGCAUCAUUCUCGGUCGGCGGAUACAAGCCUCAGUAGAAUGCGGCGUCUUAAGGUGUGUGAUAGCUCUGCGUCUCACACAUCGUGCUAGGAGUUCAGGAACUCAGCUACGCCGCAAGGCCGGGUGCAUCUCGCACGUACGCGCUCAGGAUGCUGGCAUAAUGGCUUUAAUCGA
Molecule: ribosomal RNA, 630 nt
Filed under: uncultured fungus
Lineage: Eukaryota; Fungi
Description: eukaryotic LSU rRNA
Rfam family: Eukaryotic large subunit ribosomal RNA
Source: RNAcentral